Molecule: ribosomal RNA, 376 nt
Filed under: uncultured bacterium
Lineage: Bacteria
Description: bacterial SSU rRNA
Rfam family: Bacterial small subunit ribosomal RNA
Source: RNAcentral
UAAUACGUAGGUGGCAAGCGUUGUCCGGAAUUAUUGGGCGUAAAGCGCGCGCAGGCGGAUUGGUCAGUCUGUCUUAAAAGUUCGGGGCUUAACCCCGUGAUGGGAUGGAAACUGCCAAUCUAGAGUAUCGGAGAGGAAAGUGGAAUUCCUAGUGUAGCGGUGAAAUGCGUAGAUAUUAGGAAGAACACCAGUGGCGAAGGCGACUUUCUGGACGAAAACUGACGCUGAGGCGCGAAAGCCAGGGGAGCGAACGGGAUUAGAUACCCCGGUAGUCCUGGCCGUAAACGAUGGGUACUAGGUGUAGGAGGUAUCGACCCCUUCUGUGCCGGAGUUAACGCAAUAAGUACCCCGCCUGGGGAGUACGACCGCAAGGUUG